GAUGAAGAACGCAGCGAAAUGCGAUAAGUAGUGUGAAUUGCAGAAUUCAGUGAAUCAUCGAAUCUUUGAACGCACAUUGCGCCCUUUGGUAUUCCAAAGGGCAUGCCUGUUCGAGCGUCAUUUGUACCCUCAAGCUUUGCUUGGUGUUGGGCGUCUUGUCUCUAGCUUUGCUGGAGACUCGCCUUAAAGUAAUUGGCAGCCGGCCUACUGGUUUCGGAGCGCAGCACAAGUCGCACUCUCUAUCAGCAAAGGUCUAGCAUCCAUUAAGCCUUUUUUUCAACUUUUGACCUCGGAUCAGGUAGGGAUACCCGCUGAACUUAAGCAUAUCAAUAAGCGAGGA
This 340-nucleotide unclassified non-coding RNA is filed under the name soil metagenome. Its description in RNAcentral is "partial contains 5.8S ribosomal RNA, internal transcribed spacer 2, and large subunit ribosomal RNA". The stretch from base 1 to 120 matches the Rfam family "5.8S ribosomal RNA", at positions 35 to 154 of the family's 154-position model. The record is from RNAcentral.